This 51-nucleotide transfer RNA is filed under the name Allium cepa (onion). RNAcentral's name for it is "tRNA-Cys". The record is from RNAcentral. Lineage: Eukaryota; Viridiplantae; Streptophyta; Magnoliopsida; Asparagales; Amaryllidaceae.
AAGUUUCUAACAUAUACAACGUAUUCUUACAAAAAAUGUUUUUUUAAGGAA